UGCACUCACUACUGUAAGUCGCUCUGGAUAAGAGUGUCUGCUAAAUUACUAAAA
Molecule: non-coding RNA, 54 nt
Organism: Salmo salar (Atlantic salmon)
Lineage: Eukaryota; Metazoa; Chordata; Actinopteri; Salmoniformes; Salmonidae
Source: Rfam